UCGCUAUUCGCUACUCCAGCUUGUUACAGCUUGCUAGUUUUGUUUUUUUUUGCAAAUUAAAAAAACACGAAUGUGGAGUUUUCAGAUAAUAAACUUUAACGAGCAAGAAAACGAGACGUAGCCGCAGCUGCAUGGGAACCUCAGCAUUCCCCCGGGUCAUUAUUAAUAGCGGGCUGUCGAGUUAGACUAUUUAAAGUCGUUCGUGACUUCAGUGACUCAGACCCCUUGUUUUUGUACCUUGGAAGAGUCAGUUCCGGUCUGUUUGGUAUCGUCGUGAUGAAUAAGUUUGUUUCCCAACUUGUUUGGUUUGUUUUGAACAAACUUGGUUUUGAUUUCAUGCACGUACGCAGUUAGUUUCAGCUGCAGGGAAAGACGAGCGCUUGCGAUGAGUGGAUUUUAUGUUUUUUAGUGUUGAGGACAGUGCUUUAUAAAUCAGUAAUUAACAAUAAUAAUAAUUAUAACACAAAUAAACGCGUAAUAAUAUUAAUCAGAUCAGAUUUGUGCGUUGGUGUCUGCGCCACAGGGCAGCUGUUUUUGAAAAUCUGUGCUGCUUGCACAAACUGCGCAUGCGUGAUUCGCUUUUGUUUUUUCAGCGUUAGCGUGAGUUUAAUGAGGAAACGAAUUCAUUUAUACGCGUAUUUAUGUGCAAUUGUUUGCAUUCCUCGUAUAAUAAACUCGCUUCAUGAGGUUUUCAUUAUGUGUACUUGGUUUUAUCGGUCGUAUAAUAGUAAUAGAAUAUAAUGUAAAGUCACGACACUUAGUCAACACGGGUCCUUUCAGCCUCUCCAGGUGAGCUACCCGGAGUUUAGCGGGUUAAAACCUGUCCAUUUUAUUUAAAGCACAGGUUAGCCCAUGUUGAAGCGUCAUUUCUGCCUCUGCAAGUUACCUACCUAUUGUUCAAUUGAGGUAUCGCAUGUGGAGGGGGAGGAGCAGAUUUUCAGAACACCGCCCCUCAAACACAAGCGCUGUACAAACCAAUUCAAUUACAAUACUGUACAGAAACUCUCUCAUCUUCAGAUUCAUGUCGAGACACAGUCAAUAGACCUGCAGCGGGCUUGUCUGUAUCCACAGCAUUGAUUAUUUCUGCUGCAGAAACACAGCUAACCGAGGAACGAGUGAAUUGGAAGAGAGAGAGACAUGAACCCAACUCCAAGGAGAAGGAACAGCAAAGAGCCUGCCAGAGGGAAAGCUCAGGAGCAGACAGAGGGGGGCUCGGAGGACAAGGAGGAACUGGAGAGACUAAGGAGGGAAAACAAGGAGCUGGAGGCGAUGUACAAGGAGGAGAAACUGAGGAGAGAGGAGCUUGAAGAGACCCUCCGAGACCUCAAGCCCCAGUGAAUGGACCCCCAGUUUGAGACUCUAGCCACCCCCACAGCAACGAUAUAUUUCUUUCAAAACGGUCUUCAGAAUUAGUUGUCCCUCUCUAAGCCGGACACGUCUGGAGUUGUCUGAGUUAAAAAACAAACAAACAAAAACAUUUUGUAUAAAUAUCUACAGUAGGCCUAAACUACUGGCUCUUAGUCGAAUUUGCUCUCAAACGUGAUUAUUUUCUGUAUUGUUCUCAGUUGAAUUUGCUCCUGUUUGCCGCUGAUUUGACUGUAUUUUUAUAACGGCUCUUAUCUGUAAUGUGAUAUUUUGUAACUCCUGUAAGUCGCCCUGGAUAAGGGCGUCUGCUAAGAAAUAAAUAAUAAUAA
This is a long non-coding RNA of Acipenser ruthenus (sterlet), 1694 nucleotides long. RefSeq lists it as uncharacterized. Lineage: Eukaryota; Metazoa; Chordata; Actinopteri; Acipenseriformes; Acipenseridae. The transcript is spliced from 4 exons. The record is from RefSeq and is a predicted model, not a curated record.